Molecule: ribosomal RNA, 477 nt
Filed under: Rubellofomes cystidiatus
Lineage: Eukaryota; Fungi; Basidiomycota; Agaricomycetes; Polyporales; Fomitopsidaceae
Description: SSU rRNA
Rfam family: Bacterial small subunit ribosomal RNA
Source: RNAcentral
AUGUGGUAAGGGAAAAUAAUGAUACUACCUUACUUAUAGUGUUGUCUAAAGCUGGUGCCAGAAGACUCGGUAAGGCCAGAAACGCAAACGUUAGUCAUCAUAAACAGGCGUAAAGGGUUUGUAGGCUGCUUUUAAUUUUAAAUAAAUUUAAUUUUGCUAAAUUAAAAUUUUAAUUUUGAGAGCUAGAAUCAAAAAGAAGUUAAAAAGUAUAAUACUUAGAGGAGGGAUAAUAUCUAUAGAUCCUAAGGGGAAUACUAAAGGUGUAAACAACUAACUAUAAGUGAUUGACGCUGAGAGACGAAGGUGAGGAUAGGAAAUAGGAUUAGAUACCCUGGUACCCCUCUCUGUAAACGAUGAAUGGUAGUUAUUAGUAUAAAACUGGUGGCGAAGUUAACACGUUAACCAUUCCGCCUUGGGAGUACGAUUGCAAAGUUGAAAACAAAAAAAUUAGUCGCUCUCGGAGCAAACGGAGUGAAG